This 497-nucleotide ribosomal RNA is filed under the name uncultured bacterium. Its description in RNAcentral is "partial 16S ribosomal RNA". It matches the Rfam family "Bacterial small subunit ribosomal RNA", at positions 28 to 507 of the family's 1533-position model. The record is from RNAcentral.
GAUGAACGCUGGCGGCGUGCCUAAUACAUGCAAGUCGAGCGAACAGACGAGGAGCUUGCUCCUCUGACGUUAGCGGCGGACGGGUGAGUAACACGUGUAUAACCUACCUAUAAGACUGGUAUAACUUCGGGAAACCGGAGCUAAUACCGGAGAAUAUAUUGAACCGCAUGGUUCAAUAGUGAAAGACGGUUUUGCUGUCACUUAUAGAUGGAUCUGCGCCGCAUUAGCUAGUUGGUAAGCUAACGGCCUACCAAGGCAACGAUGCGUAGCCGACCGGAGAGGCGGAUCGCCGACACUGGAGCUGGAACACGGACAAGACUCCUACGGGAGGCAGCAGUAGGGAAUGUUACGCAGUGGGGGAAAACCUGACGGAGCAACGCCGCGUGAGUGAUGAAGGUCUUCGGAUCGUAAAGCUCUGUUAUUAGGGAAAAACAAAUGUGUAAGUAACUGUGCACGUCUUGACGGUACCUAAUCAGAAAGCCACGGCUAACUACGUG